RNAcentral lists this non-coding RNA (30 nucleotides) under Homo sapiens (human). Lineage: Eukaryota; Metazoa; Chordata; Mammalia; Primates; Hominidae. The record is from RNAcentral.
UGACAUAGUACCACCAGAGUGAUGGAGAAC